RNAcentral lists this ribosomal RNA (500 nucleotides) under uncultured bacterium. RNAcentral describes it as "bacterial SSU rRNA". It matches the Rfam family "Bacterial small subunit ribosomal RNA", at positions 170 to 646 of the family's 1533-position model. The record is from RNAcentral.
CGAAUAAGACCACGCUUGGUUCGCCAAGUGCGGUAAAAGGCGGCCUCUUCUUGAAAGCUGUCACUUGAGGAUGAGCCCGCGGCCUAUUAGCUAGUUGGUGGGGUAAUGGCCUACCAAGGCGACGAUGGGUAGCCGGCCUGAGAGGGUGUACGGCCACACUGGCACUGAGAUACGGGCCAGACUCCUACGGGAGGCAGCAGUGGGGAAUUUUGCGCAAUGGGGGAAACCCUGACGCAGCAACGCCGCGUGAGUGAUGAAGGCCUUCGGGUCGUAAAGCUCUUUUAGUGGGGAAGAAUCCCACCCGGGCUAAUACCUCGGGUGUCUGACGGUACCCACAGAAAAAGUUCCGGCUAACUACGUGCCAGCAGCCGCGGUAAUACGUAGGGAGCAAGCGUUGUUCGGAAUUAUUGGGCGUAAAGAGCGCGUAGGCGGUUCGGUAAGUCUGACGUGAAAUCCCAGAGCUUAACUCUGGAACUGCGUUGGAUACUGCCGAGCUUGAA